Molecule: ribosomal RNA, 292 nt
Filed under: uncultured bacterium
Lineage: Bacteria
Description: partial 16S ribosomal RNA
Rfam family: Bacterial small subunit ribosomal RNA
Source: RNAcentral
GUGUCAGCAGCCGCGGUAAUACAGAGGGUGCUAGCGUUGUUCGGAAUUAUUGGGCGUAAAGCGCGUGUAGGCGGCCGGCCAAGUCGGAUGUGAAAGCCCUCGGCUCAACCGAGGAAGUGCGUUCGAUACUAGCUGGCUUGAGUACCGGAGAGGGUGGUGGAAUUCCCGGUGUAGAGGUGAAAUUCGUAGAUAUCGGGAGGAACACCAGUGGCGAAGGCGACCACCUGGACGGAUACUGACGCUGAGACGCGAAAGCGUGGGGAGCAAACAGGAUUAGAUACCCUCGUAGUCC